This 493-nucleotide ribosomal RNA is filed under the name uncultured bacterium. RNAcentral's name for it is "bacterial SSU rRNA". It matches the Rfam family "Bacterial small subunit ribosomal RNA", at positions 8 to 526 of the family's 1533-position model. The record is from RNAcentral.
AGAGUUUGAUCAUGGCUCAGCCUGAACGCUGGCGGCGUGGCUAAGACAUGCAAGUCGUACGGGUGCAGCAAUGCAUCAGUGGCGAACGGGUGAGUAAUGUAUCGCUAACGUGCCCUUGAGUCCGGGAUAGCCGUCCGAAAGGACGGGUAAUACCGGGUAAGACCACAAUCCCGCAUGGGAUGGUGCUCAAAGGAGUAAUCCGCUGAAGGUGCGGGCGAUAUCGUAUCAGCUAGUUGGUGAGGUAACGGCUCACCAAGGCGACGACGCGUAGCCGGGCUGAGAGGUCGGCCGGCCACAUUGGGACUGAGACACUGCCCAGACUCCUACGGGGGGCUGCAGUAACGAAUCUUCCGCAAUGCACGAAAGUGUGACGGAGCGACGCCGCGUGGAGGACGAAGUUCUUCGGAAUGUAAACUCCUGUCAGGGGUAACCAAGUUCUGAGGUGCCCCAGAGGAAGGCACGGCUAACUCUGUGCCAGCAGCCGCGGUAAUAC